AUUCCAUGAUGAGGACAUCUCAUGAGUAGCUCCUUGAAUCUUUUCCAUGCAUCAUACAAUUUUUCAUCUUCAAGUUGAUGGAAAGAUGUGAUCUCAAUCCUCAAUUU
This is a small nucleolar RNA of 107 nucleotides. It matches the Rfam family "Plant small nucleolar RNA R71". From Rfam's summary of the family: R71 is a member of the C/D box family of snoRNAs containing the C (UGAUGA) and D (CUGA) box motifs. Multiple nearly identical copies of this snoRNA have been identified in Arabidopsis, and it is thought to function as a 2'-O-ribose methylation guide for 18S ribosomal RNA. The record is from Rfam.